UUAAUUGAAACCAAAAUAGAGGUUUAUCACUGUUAAUGAUAAAAAUGGACCUUUGACUGUCCCAAUUAAG
RNAcentral lists this transfer RNA (70 nucleotides) under Lachnaia hirta. RNAcentral's name for it is "tRNA-Asn". Lineage: Eukaryota; Metazoa; Arthropoda; Insecta; Coleoptera; Chrysomelidae. The record is from RNAcentral.